GGUCGUUUAGCUCAGUUGGUUAGAGCGUCGUAUGUUAUUCUUACCUAUCCACUGUCAGAAAAAAAUAUCUUCUAACCUGCUACAGGUACUAAUACAGCAGAAUCCCACUGUAUUGAGUAAUGCGAAGGUCAUGAGUUCGACCCUCAUACCGACCA
This is a non-coding RNA of Xylaria bambusicola, 155 nucleotides long. NCBI's taxonomy places the organism in Eukaryota, Fungi, Ascomycota, Sordariomycetes, Xylariales, Xylariaceae. The record is from the annotation of a RefSeq genome assembly.